AUAUCAAUAAGCGGAGGAAAAGAAACCAACAGGGAUUGCCUCAGUAACGGCGAGUGAAGCGGCAACAGCUCAAAUUUGAAAUCUGGUCGUUUUUGGCGGCCCGAGUUGUAAUUUGAAGAGGAUGCUUCGGGUGCGACACCGCUCUAAGUUCCUUGGAACAGGACGUCAUAGAGGGUGAGAAUCCCGUCUGUGAGCGGCCGUCAACCCCAUGUGUAGCUCCUUCGACGAGUCGAGUUGUUUGGGAAUGCAGCUCAAAAUGGGUGGUAAAUUUCAUCUAAAGCUAAAUACCGGCCAGAGACCGAUAGCGCACAAGUAGAGUGAUCGAAAGAUGAAAAGCACUUUGGAAAGAGAGUCAAAAAGUAC
Molecule: ribosomal RNA, 363 nt
Filed under: uncultured fungus
Lineage: Eukaryota; Fungi
Description: eukaryotic LSU rRNA
Rfam family: Eukaryotic large subunit ribosomal RNA
Source: RNAcentral